UACAGAGGGUGCGAGCGUUGUCCGGAAUCACUGGGCGUAAAGGGCGCGUAGGUGGCGCGACAAGUCAGUGGUGAAAGUUCGACGCUCAACGUCGAAUCGGCCACUGAUACUGUUGGGCUUGAGCACUGUAGAGGCUAAUGGAAUUCCGGGUGUAGCGGUGGAAUGCGUAGAGAUCCGGAAGAACACCGGUGGCGAAGGCGGUUAGCUGGGCAGUUGCUGACA
This 222-nucleotide ribosomal RNA is filed under the name uncultured bacterium. Its description in RNAcentral is "partial 16S ribosomal RNA". It matches the Rfam family "Bacterial small subunit ribosomal RNA", at positions 524 to 745 of the family's 1533-position model. The record is from RNAcentral.